CAGUCGAACGGGCUUAACAUGAAACCUAGUGAUUGUUAAGUUAGUGGCGGACGGGUUAGUAACGCGUGGAUAACCUGCCGUAUGCAGGGGGAUAACAGUUGGAAACAGCUGCUAAUACCGCAUAAGCGCACAGUACCGCAUGGUACGGUGUGAAAAGAUUUAUCGGCAUACGAUGGAUCCGCGUCCGAUUAGCCAGUUGGCGGGGUAACGGCCCACCAAAGCGACGAUCGGUAGCCGGCCUGAGAGGGCGGACGGCCACAUUGGGACUGAGACACGGCCCAAACUCCUACGGGAGGCAGCAGUGGGGAAUAUUGCACAAUGGGGGAAACCCUGAUGCAGCGACGCCGCGUGAGUGAAGAAGUAUCUCGGUAUGUAAAGCUCUAUCAGCAGGGAAGAAAAUGACGGUACCUGACUAAGAAGCCCCGGCUAACUACGUGCCAGCAGCCGCGGUAAUACGUAGGGGGCAAGCGUUAUCCGGAUUUACUGGGUGUAAAGGGAGCGUAGACGGCGCUGCAAGUCCGGAGUGAAAGCCCAUGGCUUAACCAUGGUACUGCUCUGGAAACUGUGGAGCUUGAGUGCGGGAGGGGCAGGCGGAAUUCCUAGUGUAGCGGUGAAAUGCGUAGAUAUUAGGAGGAACACCGGCGGCGAAGGCGGCCUGCUGGACCGUAACUGACGUUGAGGCUCGAAAGCGUGGGGAGCAAACAGGAUUAGAUACCCUGGUAGUCCACGCCGUAAACGAUGAUUACCAGGUGUCGCGGUACGAAG
This 765-nucleotide ribosomal RNA is filed under the name uncultured bacterium. RNAcentral describes it as "bacterial SSU rRNA". It matches the Rfam family "Bacterial small subunit ribosomal RNA", at positions 59 to 835 of the family's 1533-position model. The record is from RNAcentral.